GUCGUAUUACGCAGGCGCUUAAAACCAUUCCAAAUGUCAACAUUGAUUCUGUGGAUUGUUAUGUUUAACCUAAUGUGAUUCAAACCACUUCUAUCCCUCCACAUGUGAUGUCGAAAAGAACAAAGGACUCGAUGGAAGAAGGAGUGACGAACACAGACAGGCAGGCCCUUCGAACUAUUAGCAAUGAAGUUCACCAGGGUGACCGAAGCUUAAGAAAGCUGCCGGUUGUUCACUCACCCAUACACGGUCUAGGUACUGAAACAAUAUCUAUGCCUGGUCCGUACUAUACUGCAUUGGUUAGAGAACUAAGUAAAAUUGUGGAAAAUUCCUCGUUGUCCAUUUUUGUUUGUAUUGCGGCCAGUUGGUUUAGAAUCACUGUUUGAUUUUCCACAAUACCUGGCCGCAAUACAAACAAAAAUGGACAACGAGGAAAAUACUCAACCAACCCGAUCAGAUCCUGACAAAAUAACUGUUAUCGACACGGUUGAUGAUUUGAUGAAGUUUGAAGUUUCUCUACAAGAACCUGAUAACUACUACGCUGUGGUGAAUCAUGUUCGUAUGCUGGGUGGCGGGUCCCUUUCCGAUUGCGUAAAAAGAUCUUGGGCCGCAUUCAUCUCAUUGAAAGUAAAGACCUCUUGCAAUUGGGAGGGGAAACCUCGAAAGGGUAUCCAAAAGCACGGUCUACAAAAAUCGUUGCUAACUGAAGCCAUUUUCAAAGGAAUUACUAUUUCGAAGCCUUUUAAAGGCGCAAACCAAUUUGAUUUGGAGUUUGAAACCAAAAAAAUUAUGAAAAGUGCUCCAGAAUUAUUCCAACGAGUCCAGCAGAGCCUUGGGAAAGACAACAGCAUACCACGGGAUAUCAGUGAAGACAGUGGAUAACUCCCUAUUAGUUCAUUGAACGGGUAUGGAGUCGGAGUCAUGUUCCUCACUCAAUUUCGUGAUUGUUUCGUCUUGUGUUUCUCAAUUUAGUCAGCACGUGUCCGUGCACAUGGACCAAAUUAAAACUGAUAUAUGUUAAAUCUACUGUAUCGUUUUUGAAAUUUCUGCUGUGAAUACAUGAUAUUCAGCUCCCUA
This is a long non-coding RNA of Daphnia magna, 1074 nucleotides long. RefSeq lists it as uncharacterized. The record is from RefSeq and is a predicted model, not a curated record. The transcript is spliced from 6 exons. NCBI's taxonomy places the organism in Eukaryota, Metazoa, Arthropoda, Branchiopoda, Diplostraca, Daphniidae.